UAACAGCUGUACUAGAGGUUUGUCCUCGAU
Molecule: non-coding RNA, 30 nt
Filed under: Rattus norvegicus (Norway rat)
Lineage: Eukaryota; Metazoa; Chordata; Mammalia; Rodentia; Muridae
Source: RNAcentral